UGGGGAAUAUUGCACAAUGGGCGCAAGCCUGAUGCAGCCAUGCCGCGUGUGUGAAGAAGGCCUUCGGGUUGUAAAGCACUUUCAGCGAGGAGGAAGGUGGUGAACUUAAUACGUUCAUCAAUUGACGUUACUCGCAGAAGAAGCACCGGCUAACUCCGUGCCAGCAGCCGCGGUAAUACGGAGGGUGCAAGCGUUAAUCGGAAUUACUGGGCGUAAAGCGCACGCAGGCGGUUUGUUAAGUCAGAUGUGAAAUCCCCGGGCUCAACCUGGGAACUGCAUUUGAAACUGGCAAGCUAGAGUCUCGUAGAGGGGGGUAGAAUUCCAGGUGUAGCGGUGAAAUGCGUAGAGAUCUGGAGGAAUACCGGUGGCGAAGGCGGCCCCCUGGACGAAGACUGACGCUCAGGUGCGAAAGCGUGGGGGGCCAAACAGGAUUAGAUACCCUGGUAGUCCACGCUGUAAACGAUGUCGAUUUGGAGGUUGUGCCCUUGAGGCGUGGCUUCCGGAGCUAACGCGUUAAAUCGACCGCCUGGGGAGUACGGCCGCAAGGUUAAAACUCAAAGGAAUUGAC
Molecule: ribosomal RNA, 568 nt
Filed under: uncultured bacterium
Lineage: Bacteria
Description: partial 16S ribosomal RNA
Rfam family: Bacterial small subunit ribosomal RNA
Source: RNAcentral